RNAcentral lists this ribosomal RNA (515 nucleotides) under uncultured bacterium. RNAcentral describes it as "partial 16S ribosomal RNA". It matches the Rfam family "Bacterial small subunit ribosomal RNA", at positions 28 to 523 of the family's 1533-position model. The record is from RNAcentral.
GAUGAACGCUGGCGGCGUGCCUAAUACAUGCAAGUCGAGCGAAUGGAUUAAGAGCUUGCUCUUAUGAAGUUAGCGGCGGACGGGUGAGUAACACGUGGGUAACCUGCCCAUAAGACUGGGAUAACUCCGGGAAACCGGGGCUAAUACCGGGUAACAUUCUGAACCGCAUGGUUCGAAAUUGAAAGGCGGCUUCGGCUGUCACUUAUGGAUGGACCCGCGUGGCAUUAGCUAGUUGGUGAGGUAACGGCUCACCAAGGCAACGAUGCGUAGCCGAACUGAGAGGGUGAUCGGCCAAACUGGGACUGAGACACGGCCCAGACUCCUACGGGGGGCAGCAGUAGGGAAUCGUCGGCAAUGGACGAAAGUCUGACGGAGCAACGCCGCGUGGGUGAUGAAGGCUUUCGGGUCGUAAAACUCUGUUGUUAGGGAAGAACAAGUGCUAGUUGAAUAAGCUGACACCUUGACGGUACCUAACCAGAAAGCCACGGCUAACUACGUGCCAGCAGCCGCGGUAA